CACAACCAGAGUCUCCAUGUGGUAGAAAACCCUAUGGCCCAUCUUUUCUUCAUACUAAAUAAGUCAGUGACCACUUAUUUCAUUUUAUCCCACGUACUUCGCCUCUCAAGUGGGUAGUUUGCACUUUCGUGAUGUGAAGAGGCUAUAACCAUUCUGCAUGUAGUUUUUUGAAGAGCUUAUGCAAUCAAUAUAACCAUGUUGAUGGUAGAGAACUGAGCCACAGCGACCUCUCACCCGGCCAACAUGAGAAAGCUGACCUGUGCAGGAGGAGCAGCACCUCCCCCACGUAAGUGACCUGACCUGGGAUGGAGUAGGGGUGAAUCACCCCAAAAGGGAUCACAGCAUGGGGCAGCAGAAGCAAAGACUACUCAAUGGACCAGAGUCUGGCUGAUGACUACACCUGGGAUAUGAAGGGGGAACCAGAACCCACGGCUGUCGACACAAAGUCUAAUAGCCCAACUGAGCUCCCACUUUGUGGCCUAAGUCUAGCAGAGAAAGAGAACUGAUUGUGCUCCCCAUCUACUAACAGGAGCAAAAACAUUGUAACCUUGGCUUGAAAUUGUAACCACAGUCUGGCCAGGAGAGGAGUAACAGAUGGACCUCAGUCCCAGAACCCUAAAGCCUGGCAUGGAAAAUCAUGCCUGAGUGAAUACCAAGACUGUAGAUCAUAGACAGAAACUACUCAUUCAAUAACAAAGCAACAUUUUCUUGACUCAAUCCUUUUUCUCCCCUAUUUGGUAUUGUUUUUAUCUUUUCUUCAUCAGAUUUUUUUAAAGGUAUGGGGGUUUUUUCUCACUUUUUUGUCUUCAUUUUCAUUUUGCCUCUUAUUCUUCUGUCUUCUGACUUUUUCUCUUCAUUCUUCUUUUGUUUAUCUCUUAUUUUUGCUGUUUACCUUUUUUUUUCUUUUUGUUUGUUUUUUCUAGUGAAUAUUUUCUGUCACUAUUAUUUCCUUUUACUCCUUAAUAGGACCCUCUAUCUUAUUUUCUCUCUUCCUUCUCAUACCCCAUCUUGCUUUUUACAUUUCCCCCCUCUCUCCACCUUUAUUAGAAUAAGAACUAUGCUUUAUGAACCUCUAGGUAAAUAGUUAACUUUGCAUUAUUCCUCUUAAGUACUGUGCUAUUGUUAGAAGAAUAAAGUUGUCCCAUUUACUGUAGGUCCACAGCAGGACAAUAUUUGGUUUAUUUUGUGUUCAUACUGUAAUUCUACAACUCUUUCCUGUGGACAAAUCUGGUACAGUGUGGAGAACACUUUGAAAUAAGAUGAAAUUGUAUAACCCUAAGUGUGCUGUAACCCUAAAAGUGUGCUGUGACUUUAAGAGUGCUGUAGCC
This 1328-nucleotide long non-coding RNA is filed under the name Heterocephalus glaber (naked mole-rat). RNAcentral describes it as "lncRNA (ENSHGLG00000046445.1)". Lineage: Eukaryota; Metazoa; Chordata; Mammalia; Rodentia; Bathyergidae. The record is from RNAcentral.